UAAGAAUCAGCUUUUUAAAAGCCUCUGUCUGGGUAUAUCCUCCCCCACAGGACAUGCAGCAGGGUGACUUUUUGGAUCAAACUGGUGACCUGAGAAGAGAAAGCUGCCCAGCUAUAUUGUAUUAGACAUCUAGACAGACUUGAUCUCUCAUCCUUGGUAGAGCAAAGCUGUUUUUAUCUUCCCCUUGUGCUGUCCCGGCUCUCUCAGGUUGGCUGUCUGCAGCAAGAGCCUGGGAUUUUGGGCUUUCCCUGUGCCCAGCAUUGUGAUGGGGUGCUCUACACGCCCUGCUGAACCAGCCUCUGCUGUGUGAGCACCAACAACUGCCUUCAAAGUGCUCUGUGCUCUGGAGCCGUCACUGGGAGGGGAAGAGCUUCUGUCCCCUCUCCGCUGGUUAGGAAAGAGGAGUGCUUCACCUGUUUUUCUGCUCUUCUGCCCCCCAGCCAGUGGCACCUGGCUUCCCAGAGCCUCACGGGUGAGGUUGCCAGCAUCGUUCCCACUUUGAAAAACCGGACACAAAAAACAAGGCAGAAAGCACUGAGGUGGUCAGUGUUAGAGGCACAGCCCGGUCCCCUGGUCUCCAGCCAGGCACGCUAGUUUUCUAGCAUGGAUGAGUUGCGCUGGAGGCUGUUUUGUGCCUUCUGGCACCCUCCGUCACGGGGAGGGGAGGGAUGCCCCUGGGCAGCUGUGUGCUGGGGGCAUUUCCUUUUUGUCAUCAGAGCUGGAAGUCGUGCUGAGUGGCCGAUUAAUAAAUUACUAAUGGUGUUGCAUGUGGUAUGUAGCUGUUUGCUGGUCUUCUCUUGGCCUGCCCCCAUGCACAUCCCAGGCAGCGGGGAGCUUGUCCAGGAACAGCCUGUAGCCUGGUUUGGGUCACCGGUCUGUUUUUUCCAGCCUCCUAUGCUCUUCUGUAUAUCCCUUGCUGUUUGGUGUGGUCCCCGGGCUUCCUAAAAAUCUGCUCCAUCCUCUUGUCCUUGUUAAAUUGAAAAGCUUAUUCAAGCAAAUGCAACUUAGGCUGUUUUGACAGCCUCCUUUGCCUUUUCAAAUUCUGGGCUCCUUUAAACCUCUCUGUGAUAAUACUGUGCAUUUAAAGCACCUCAGUGGUCUCCAUCAGAAACAGGAAGGUAUUUUUAAGUCAUUGUAAAAGAACUUGGUAAAACCAGUGUCCUUUCAAUAUAUUGCAAGGGUUUGAUUUCCCCGCCCCCACCCCCCCCCCCCCCGAUGGUAUGCAGUUACCUAAUGCUCACAGCACCGUGAUGUCCCUAGGAGUGCUGCAAAGAAGAUGCUGUUUUAUCGCUGUGAUCCUGUUUUCCUUACCAACCCUUUAGUUAGUAAAGGGGCAAAGAUCUGUGAUGUUGGAUACCAGAGCUCUCUCGCUGCAUUUAUGCCCUGUACGGAUGAUCUUGUUCUCAUCUUUGCAUGAGAUCACAAGCAGGGAGUGGUGUUUCACAAGCUUUCAUCCAGCUGCAGCUGAACGGAUUCAGGUGUUAGGGGGUUGUGCAUCCUGAGAGGAGGUGGCAGCUUGGUUUCCACCUAGGUCUUUGGCUUGAGAACAUCUUGGUCUUUCACGGGACAAAAUUACGAUUGUAAAAGUUGCAAGGCAGGACCCUAAACUAUUGAAUGGCGUUUAUUUUCCUUCCUGCCUUGGAAUUCCAGGAACUUUCCUUCAGCUUUGGGGUAGGAAAAUGUUUCCUUUGUUAUGCAGAGGCAGAGUCCUGGGCUAAAAGCUAAUGAGUGUCAUUAGAGCAGAUAAAGCAGAGAUACUAGGCAGCAAAUGGCUUCUCUUUAAAGCUAAACCAAACCUGUUAGUUCGGGGUUUCAGCCUGAACUUCGGUUUCGUCCUGUUUCUGAGUGGGAGGCAGUAAGGGGGGGUGAGGUGAGGCAUGCCAGGAGACAUGAUGUCAAAUCUGGCUUUUGAGCAGAUCUACCUGGGCAGCCUCACCUGCUUUCCUUGGGCAGAGCUCAAGACACAGAAGUGCCUUAUUCUCAAAGGUUUCAAAGGUCAUUUGGGUCCCUAAAUACCCAUGGGGAUUUGGACUUAGUUUCUACUCUGCUCUUAAAGAAGGAUUUAAUAGCACUUUCUUAUCCCCUGGAUAUCACAUACACGAUGAUAUCAAGAUAGACAAGAGAGACAAAGACCAAAAAAGUCACUGGCGAGAUCCAGAAGUUUGAUAUUUAAGUAAAACUUUCUUCAUACUUUUUUUGUUUCCAUGCAGGUGGAGUUAGUUUGCAGCUUUUGCUGUUCGUGCAGCUGUUCCAGUUGUGCUUAAACUGGUUUCCAAAAGGGUCCUGGUCAAUUUAAAAAGGUUAUCUGUAAGCAGCUGGGAAGCUGGAUUUCUAUCAAAAGUUAGGAAGUUGGACUUGUUACUUUUUGGACCAAGGGCAGGGGGCUUCUCCAGCAACCUGGCCCUUUCCUUGCCACAAGCAGACACAAUGUGUCGAGCUCUAAACCUGAACUGGUUUCUUUGUGGAGUACAAGACAUUGUGAUUCCUAAACAGAGUAUGAAAGCUGUUUCCUAUGCCUCAGAAACAGGCCAUUGUAAUGGGGUUUUGAUACUGAUGGUGUCAGUUAAUGUUUUAAAGCUAUUGCAGAUGCUCCCAUGGCUUAAGGACACUUACUCUUGGCUCUCAGCUCAUUUUCUUCAGGUGUCUGAUAGCAGGUUCCUGGCUGAGCUGUGAUGUGACUUCUGGCAGUUGACCUGACAACCUUGGAGCAGUUAAAGACCAACUGCGAGGUGCUCUAAGGGGUCAUGACUCAAAGGCCAGGCGACCUGCAAGCUGGGAAAGCUGGCUUCGCCCAUCUGUCCUUCAACUACCAUGUGCCAGUGACUUUACACCAUGCUGCAGUUCUGAAGCUUUCUGAAUAUCAACUAUACUUCUUCAUCCUUCCCCCCUGCGCCAAGAAGUCACAAACGUCCCCACCUUAGAGUUACUUUGUGACUGAUAAUUUCUCAUUUCUAUAUAGGGAAAGCCAAAGUAAGCAGCAGAGCUCAAGAAAGAGCUGAUGGCUCCUAGCGCCAGUGGCUCAGUCUCUCGUACCUCCAGGGACCAUCAUGCCUUGUUAGGAAAAAAGAAAAGGAAAAAAGGACUAUUGUGUGCAGGGAGACUGUCCUGGCUUAGUAGAGAAGAGAGGAGGGGGUCUGGUGCUCACAGGGUGUCAGAAUUGGAACGGGA
Dromaius novaehollandiae (emu) is the source of this 3168-nucleotide long non-coding RNA. RefSeq lists it as uncharacterized. Lineage: Eukaryota; Metazoa; Chordata; Aves; Casuariiformes; Dromaiidae. The record is from RefSeq and is a predicted model, not a curated record. The transcript is spliced from 3 exons.